This is a long non-coding RNA of Schistocerca gregaria, 497 nucleotides long. RefSeq lists it as uncharacterized. The record is from RefSeq and is a predicted model, not a curated record. Lineage: Eukaryota; Metazoa; Arthropoda; Insecta; Orthoptera; Acrididae. The transcript has 2 exons.
ACAGCCUGAGGCGACACCAACCACGGCCGCCUGUAUUAGAGGCCGGAGGACUGAAAUGUGGCAACGUUACGUUAAGGCCUACCGUAUGGCUGUGGCUAUAAGGUAGCAAACGGAAGCAGUUGUUUACGCACUUUCGCGGUGUCUGUUUUAUCCGACAUUACAGUGUAAUUAUGCUAUACUGGACUCUGCAAAAAUUAUAGCAAGUAGUCGUGACUACAGUCGAAGAUAUAACACAAUAUGCCAGAAAAAUAUGUUCCUGGUUGCAACAGCAACUACAAAUCCAGCAAGGAAGAGGGUUACAUCUCAGUGUUCAGAUUCCCUAACAGAUUAAUGUCUCUGUGGAACGCCACUUACUUAUAUCUACAAAAAGCUGGUUUCCAUUAUGUGUAACAUAUUGUUAAAUAAUUAUACCAAACUCCAAAAUGAUCAUUUAGUAUGUUCCAAGAAGGAGGGAGUUAAUAGAAAAUUAAAAGCAUUACAUAACUUUUGACACAAAA